Molecule: ribosomal RNA, 253 nt
Filed under: uncultured bacterium
Lineage: Bacteria
Description: partial 16S ribosomal RNA
Rfam family: Bacterial small subunit ribosomal RNA
Source: RNAcentral
UACAGAGGGUGCGAGCGUUAAUCGGAAUUACUGGGCGUAAAGCGCGCGUAGGCGGCUUUGCAAGUCGGGUGUGAAAUCCCCAGGCUUAACCUGGGAACUGCAUUCGAGACUGCAUUGCUAGAGUAUCGGAGAGGGAAGUGGAAUUUCAGGUGUAGCGGUGAAAUGCGUAGAUAUCUGAAGGAACAUCAGUGGCGAAAGCGACUUCCUGGACGAAUACUGACGCUCAUGUGCGAAAGCGUGGGGAGCAAACAGG